This 8404-nucleotide long non-coding RNA is filed under the name Gallus gallus (chicken). The record is from RNAcentral. Lineage: Eukaryota; Metazoa; Chordata; Aves; Galliformes; Phasianidae.
AGAGUCCUUAGUGAGCAAGAACUGAGCGUCUUCCAAGUCGUAAUGAUCCUCACUUGUUCACUCUCUCACAAACAGAAUCCCUUUGGCCAGCAGCCAGGGCUGCAAUAAGGGCCAGGCACAUACAAGGGCAGCUUAAAAGCACCUCAGCUUUGGGAAAUCCUGCUGGGCUGUAAAAAGCUGCCCACAAACCCAAAUCAAGCAAGGCUUGUCUGAUAAUUCUUUGGCAUAAUCCCCAAACUUGCUGAACAGCUUUUCCCUACAAAGUAUUUCCAGGUGGGUUAUUAGGGCCUGUAUCCCUUCCAUCUUGUAUCCUCUCGUGGUUGAAAAAGGCAUUCUUCAGAGCAGGCUAUUUUUUAAAGGAAGACAAAUAUCCUCCUUUACAUCUCUGGUUCCUGUAAACCAGAAAGAUACUUUGCAGGAUGCAAACUCUUCCUGCCACAGCUCACAGGUCUCACCUCCCCACAGUGCUCGUACAGGACUUUCAGUUACAGAGAUCAUUUGUACUUUCCCAAGGAGGCUGGUACUGGUUCAAGUAGCAGCAUGCACGCUCAGUGCUAGCAUGAAGGUGCUAUACUCUGUUAAACUAGUUUUCUUUCCUGUGUUUUUAUAGCAGUACCACUGUAGCCACAUUUGGGUCUGUGCUACUUUAAUCAUACUGGAGUAGUUAAAAGGAAACAGCUGAGCUGAGCAUGUCCUGCAGCUCAGAGUCCUGUGGCUUGGGGUAGGAGGAGGCAGGGUCCUGGGCCCAAGUAGCCCUUCCAGCUUUGAGUGGGCAUGCACAAUUCAUCAGUAAGGCUGAGCCUUGCCAGGAGAACCUGUGUCUCCAUGAGGCCUUCCCUGCUGCUGUAACACAGCAAAGCUUUGGUUGCUUUCUGCCAGGGGAAGGCUGGUUUGCUGUGAUCCCUGCAAGGAGAGAGGCAGGCAGACAGGCAGCUUGCUGACCUGCUGUUAUUUUUUCUCAUUGCAAUAAUCUGUGGCUGCUGUGAAUGGGAUUAUAGAAAAUGAGUCCCCAGUGUAAGACUUGCAGAUGUAUAGAUAUCGUAGGAGAGAAGCAGGAAAAGAAAUUACAGAGUUUUCCUUUGGAACCUGUCAGUGCAACAAACUGGUUCCUUUGCUGGGGUCUGUGCCACCGCAGAACACGAAGAGAGCUGGAGAUGGAACGGCGCAGAACUCAAAAAGGUUUCUGUGAGUUAAAACACGCUGUUUCACUUUGAGACACUUCAGGAUGGGAUGAUUUGAAAGUACAUGGUGUGUCUGAAAAAAAAUAACCAGCUGUGGUGGUAAAAUCCAACCAGGCAGCUAAAGAUCUGUUUUGAAGCUGGUCUGCCAGCGAGGCCUUGCUCUCCAGGGAGGUCUAAAUCACCGUGGGCUGAAGGACGCAGGAGGCAACCUGGAUUCCUUUCCUACCGCUGCCUGAAAGAGGCCGGUACUGCUCCCAGCUGCAGCGAGGCUGAGAAGGCCGCAGCGCAGGCGUAGUGCCUUGGCGUGACUCAGGGCCUUCUCCACUCUGACUUCCUUCCAGCAUCCCCUCCCCAGGCUGGAAUCUCAACGCCUCCCACUCUGAGAAUUUUUUUUUUUCCCUCAGCACAGCACAACCCAGCCUGUUCCUGCUGGUGGCCAGUCAGCUGUGCCGAGCACUGCUGCUGCCACUCACACCUGUGUCAGGCAGUGAGCAGCACUCCUGCUUUAACCCAGCUCAGGUGGGGAAACCUGGUGAGACAAACCAUAGCUACCCGGGCUGUGAGGUGCUGGGAAAAAAGAGCAUCCUGGACAGCCCUGGCAAAGCUAGAGAGCUCUGUGCUCAAGGGGGUCAACAAGAGCAAAGGCAGGAGGUGCUGCAAAGACGUUAUUUUCCCUCAUAGCAAAUAGCAGAAAGCUCCACCCAAGUUUCACUUCUCAUUCCCAUUUUGUAUCAAAAAUAAACAAACAAACAAAAAUCAACGCUUGCUACUGUGCAUUGCCCUUGUUGCCAUGUGAUCUGGGGAUGGGAUUAUGUUGUUGAUAACUUGGUUCUUUUAUAGAAUCAGAUCCAUAGGUGCUGUAGGAGCCUGCGCAACUUGUCGGAGCAAUUCUCUCCCCUGGCAAGUCACACAAGAGGCAGAGCUUCUCCCUGCUCCACGCUGCCCUGCGGAUCUCUGCCUCCCCCUGCAAGGAUGACUCCUCCUCACCAUCCUCUUGCAAAGCACCAGCUGUACUCAUUUUUAGGAAAGCGGGCGGAAUUCCUCAUAGCUGCACUGUGGAAUGCUGUGCGACACCUCAAUGAUGAGACAAAUGACAGAAGCAUAGAUCAUUGUAGUUGGAGAAGACCUUCAAGAUCAUCACGUCCAAGUGCCGACCCAUCCCCACCAUGCUCACUGACCAUGUCCUGUGCCAUGUUCACACGGUUCUUGUACACCUCCAGGGAUGGAUUCUGAUGAACUUCUGCUGUGAACUAUUUCCUGUGGAUAACAUGCAGAAGAAGCAGAGUCCCCCAGCAUGCCUGACUGAUGUGUACUGCCCACAGCUGCCACGCCGUGUAACCAGGAACCAACUCCAGACUGUGGUAUGCAGUGGGAUAGCUUGAACGCAGCAGUUCUAGGAGGGUUAAAAAUUAAACCAGCAAUCAAGAUCUAAAGCGGCGCUGGGUUUAAAAGACUGGCAAGGUUCAGCUGUGAGUCAAUUCAUUAGUUGCAGUUAAUAUUGCUAGAAGAGCUUGACAAAAGGAAACACGAAGCAACUGAAAAGAAACAUCCUUAAGGUGAAUGUCAAAGUUUUUGCAUCCAGCAAAGAAACGAAAAGCUGAAUACAGAAGAGAAAGCACUGGUUCCCAUUGAGUGGUUACAGAGGAAACAAUCGUACUACUACAGAGACCUGACUAGAGAAUGAAUCUCAUGACUGGCUUAUCUCCUCCAGGACUGGUGAGAAACCCAAAGUAGCUACAGUGUCUGUUCAGACUUGCACAUAGAAGGCUCUGUUCCAUCAGGGUACACUGAAAUGCUGGGUUUGUGUAGCAGUGGUGAUUUCCAGUUUUCUUGAAUCCCAUUGUCUGUUCAGCACCCACUUAGGAGCAAAGAAGGAGCUUCUGCAUCUGUGCAUCUGGUGUGACCUACACAGUGCAGCCAUGGGCUCCUGCUGCCCUGGAAGCAGCCUUCCAAAGAAACAGUUCCAGCACAUUCUCCUAGGCAAAUAGUUAAUUAUCAACACUAACAAGUGAGUUUCACAUUUCUAUGUCCACUGUACAUACAUCUCGGUCUCCCAGGUGUCUUGUCCAGAUGGGGUGUGGAUCCUCAGCCAUUGGCAUUCCAGGCAGUAGAUGCAGGCAGUGGGUCGCAUGGUGUGGGGCUCAGCUCCAGUGGUUGUCCCCCUGAGGCACUGUUUCCCUUCUCUUCCUCCUUUUGGAAAUGUGGUAAGAAAUGGCCACUGUUUGGGAUAAUCUUUGGCAGCACCUCCUGUCCCUGCUGUAGCUGCACCUUCCUACCUCUGGAUCGCAGCGCGUUAUUUGUAUGCUAAGCAGAGAACUCCCCCACUUAGGAUUUAUAUUUAUUUGGUGUUUUUUCUAAGCAGUAAUGAUAGGUCAGCAGGCAGGAAAUAUUUUAGCUGGCUUUGCCAUUAAGAGCCUUUUUUAUGCAAUCAAGUGUCAAGGUGCUGCUUUGGGAGAGCGUGGGGAACUGUCCUGACACCACCACUGCCAGAGGCCCUGAUUUGCAGCAGCGGGAUCUGCAGGAGCAGGAGCAUCAUACCCCUGUGCUGGAGCUCAGCCAGGCUGCCUGCAGGCAUCACAUACAGGGCAGUGGCUGCCUGUCCCCCUCAGGAGCUGGGAGAUGGUGUCACCUGCCCACAGAGCACUCAGCACUGCUCACAUUGGACAUGGGUGUUUUCAUAACUGGGAUGAAGAAACAGAUGCCUUUUCUUGCUCUAGAGAGAUUAUUUCUUCUGUGCCACUAGCCUGAGAUUGUUUGCUUGGCUUAGCCUGUGUUUUCACCAUAUGCAACAAGCCUUAACCACUUCAUUUGGGGCUGCUAUUCAUUUGGGGCCAAUAUGAAACAUUUCUGGCUUUUUUUUUUCAUUUUUCUGGCCCAUACAUGUUGCUAAUCUAUCCCCUUGUCUACAUACUCUUUCUUCUCCAACAUUUCAGGUUUCCUGCCUUGUAAUAUUUCAAAUCCUUGACUGCUUGCUGCUGCAGAUGGAGUAUUGGUUACCCUCCAUCAUCGGUCUGGCUGCGAAGACUUCCUGUGCUUGACAAGUUGAUUACUUCGUCAAGGUGAAUGUUCAGUCGAGUCUGUCUGGAGGACCUCUGUGUGUCUGAUGCCAGCUGGUUUCUCACCAGACGCACUGUUUCACCAGGCACAGAAUAAUAUGAGGAGAAAAAAUGGGAUUUUGAGGGGCUUUUUUCCCCACUCCCUUUUUGAGGUUGGUGUUGCUCCAGUUUAUCCCAGUAGGAUGUAGGUGGAUAACUCUCUAAAUGCAGCCAUCUUCUAUAUGGAGAGCAAACCUCUCUGAUGAAAUGCCGCUGUCCUUUAUAUGUGGUUUUCCCUGCCUUUAGGAUCCCCAAAAGAGGUUAGAUAGCUUGGAAGCUGUGGCAUUAACAGUGCUUUCAUAUUGUCCAUUGUGUAUCAUCAAGGAAGCGCAGUAAAACCCAAAUAAAUUAAAUGAAUUUCAUUGCAGUUCCUGAGGGAGAGCAGGAUGCUUUACUUGUGAGUUUCAAGUCAGGUCAGGAGGGUUGGAUCUCCACAGAGAAACUGCUGACACAGGCCCAGAAAUGUCAUUAGUAAGGUAAAGAAAAACAUCCAAACUUCUCUUAAUAGUCCUUUGUGAAUACUUUAUAGGAAGUGGCAUCCAGACAACAAUAGGUAUUAAGAAAUUGGGAAAUAACAGUAAACAGCACAAAGUAAACAGCACAGAGAAAACUGUGUGUGCUUUCUGAGAAGGUAAGGAAACUGCAUCACAAUGCUGAGUGCUUCAGGAGAGAAAAUUCUCAUAACUUCCAUAGCCAAACAUUGCUUGGGACCAGGGCGUGAAUGACUCCUCUGUGCUACUGCUGAGAGGGUGUUGCAACUUCUUGGCAGGUUACAGAAAAUAGAAUGUUGGCCAGCUUCAUUAUCUGGUGGUACAGGAACAUUUGUUUCUCUAGCCACAUGUGGCUGUGUCUGACCAUCUUGGGUAUCCAAGCAGGGAGUUCAAAGGAAAACCCUGUAGGCUUGGUUUUCAAAGGGACUUAUUUCCAGUAAGUGUGAACCUUGUUUCUAAAAGGAGAGAAAUCCUUGUUUACUCUUCUAGGAACUCAUAUUUCUGACAUAUUGUAGCAGAAAUAAUAAGCAAAAGCAUACUACAGUGGUGAGGUGAAUCCAGGGAGCAUGGCAACUGCUGCCAGACCAGCAUCUGCAGCCAAACCAGCCCCUGGUGCAUCAUGAGCACCGUCCCUGGCAGAUGUGGUCCUGGGGUUACUGUCCUCAACAGAUCCCAUAUUAACACCUCAGUGAGGAGAAGAAUCAUAGAAUCACAGAAUAUCCUGAAUUGAAAGAGGCCUACAAGGACCAUCAGCUUAACUCCUGGCUUCGCAUAGGAACACACAAAAUUGAAAUCCUAUGUCUGCAACUGUUGUCCAAACACUCCUCAAAUCCAGCAGCUGAGGCCAUGCCCACCGCCCUGAAGAGCCUCUUCCAUGCCCACCACCCUCCGGUAAAGAACCUUUUCCUAAAACCGAGGCUGACCCUCCUUCUGGUGCAGCUCCAUGCUGUUAAAGAACGAUGGAGUUUUUCCUGUGUCCCACCAUACCUGACAAGGCAAGGAUGUGUUGCAGUCCCUAUAAAUUGAGCUAUUUCAGACCGACUUUGUGCAAGAGUGGAAGAAGAGCAAUAUGUAGCCACUUUUAUCCCCUUGGAAAGGUAGAGGCAGGAGAGCAGGCUGCCAGACCUCCAGAGAAGCAAGGGUCUCCAUCAGGGCAUUUCCUAGCAGGAGGCAAGAAGAUCAUGCUUUCUCUCCUGUCAUUUAUUCCCUGAUGACUAUUUUCUUUGCUUCCUCCAGGCCCAGGGCCAGGAGGGCCAGCACUGGGAACACGUCCUGGUGCAUAGCCAGGGACGCAGCAGUGUCCUGCUGAGAGCAGUGGCCCGGGGCCGGGCACACAGCAUCCAGCCCUCCCCUGGAGACUGGUGUUUGCUGAGGGAUGCAAGGUAACCUCAGCAUUGAAAAUAGCUGGGACGUUGGCCAGCGAAGAUUAAUGGCAUCAUUAACAUCUCCAGUUUAUUUAUAGGUUUUAAAAAGUCUCCAACCUGUAAACAAAGCAGAGUUAUGCUGCGUAAUGCAGAGAAUCACAGGUUUACCUCCUUCCCACUCCUCUUAUUUCAUCCUUGUUGUUGAGACUGUAAAACCCCUGGGGCAGGACUGGCUCACUGCAAACUUACAUUAUAAACCUUCUCAAUGAGGGGGAUACGCACUGUUGUUUUUUUUUCCCAUGAAUGCCAUGUUUGUCUGGUCUCCUUUCUCCACUCAGCUCUUUCUGUGCUUUGUCCCGUGGCCCCUGUUACGGAAAAUUCUCUUUUUGAAGAAUUCCUGAGGCCCAGGUUGGGAAGUCAUCACAGGAAUUAGUGAUUUUCUGCCUUAGGCCUUAAGCUGCAAGCUUUGUGUGAGGAGGAUUGAGCAUCUUGUAGCUGUGGAGAGCACCUAGGCCGUGCAUGGCCCCAGUGAAGCGUGCAGAUGUUAUUAAUGACCCUGGGGUCUUCCUACAGGCACUCAGGGCCACUCAGUUCCCAGGUUCUCGAGAAACUUGAAGGGCUGUCAAGAAAAGAAAAAGCAUGUUGGCCCCAGAACAGGAGUUCUCAGCACGUGAGCUGCAGCCACACCACCUGGCCCAUCUCCAGGAGCUCAGGAGAAGGUAAGGUAGAAAGAGGGCCUGUUGGCAGCAGGCAGCAGGGAUCUGCUGCAGAGGUGUAUGGGUGGAGGGGGAAAGAAAAAUGUGAGAACAGGCCCCUCUAGGCACACAGUGAUCACAUUAUGAAGAUGUGUUUUGGAGGGCAACCACCGUUCGUUUUGCUGUUUGUGAUGUGUUAAUCUGAGUUGUACUCCCAUGGCUCUCUCUCCUGGGCCUUUUGUCUUCUAGGGGGUAAAAUAAAGAAUUGGCAGAGAAUUUCUCAAAUUGCUGUUGUCUUCUUUUCUUUGGGAAAUUAGAGUGCUUCAGGGCAGAGGAAAUGAGUCCGAAGUACUAGAAGUGACUGAAGGAGGGUUUCUAUGCCAUGGGCACCACAGAUGAAAUCAUGACCCUGGAAUCCCCUCGCCACCCAAACACUGGUGGGUUUGAGGCAUCUCAGUGCCUCGUGUUCCCCUUCUCCAAUUUCUCACUUGGGCUGUGAGCUCCAGCUCCUCUCCAUCCCCCCCAGUCAGGGCUCAGCUCUCUGCUGUGCUGGGGAGAUCGAGGCCUGUGCCUCAGUUUCUUUCUCUGUUAAAUGAGACCAUGGUGCUGACUGAGUUUCAUGAAGUCUUCCAAAGGACAAAACCUAAGUACAGUUAUUCAGUCAUCAAAAGACCAUGACUGGGAGAGUGUUUCCUUGUCUGAUAUGCUUGAGAUCCUGUGAAAUUCAAAAGGCUUCAAGGAAAAGGCAGCUCAUAUGCAGCAUCUGAGAUAAAGGAGGAGAAAAGGUGAUGUUUUAACUAUACUUAUCUCAGGAAGGAGACACCUCCUACAUAUUUUUUUCUAAUCUAAAUUCCUGAACAUCUAACCAGAAUAAUCAGCACAAAUUUCUCUCUAGACUGAUGUUAGAGGCACAAGCCUCGCGACAAAAGGGGCCAUCUACAUCUCUCUCAAACUGAUUACGUGCUUUGAAAAGUGAAUGCAAAAGGGGAAAGAUUUUUUUUUAACAAGGCAGCUAAGGCACAGCUCUGCUGAGGAGCAGCUGCCUCCCAGACCUCAGUGCUGCACAUCUUCUGUGGCAUCACUGACCCCUGAUACAGGAAGGAAGAACUGGGAUUUUUUUGUUGUUUUCCUGUUCCACUGGGCUACACCCAUUUGUAACCAUAUUUAACCUUUCUUUUUCUAGCUGCCAAUGCCGGGUGGCACUGGGUAACUCCUGACAUUUUAUAAAGUCUAUUCUAAAACCUGAAUCACACCAUCUUGGCUCCACGCUGUCCUGACAACAAAUGGUUAUGUUUGAGAAGCUUUUGAUUGCGUGGUUGUUGCAGUAGGAACAUCUGAGUCACGUGGUGCAUUUUGUACCUUAGUUUGUUAGAUUGUUAGAGUGCUUUUGGAACUCUGGCCCCACAGGUUUGACAAAGAUUCAGUGCAGUAUUGGGCUUUAAAGCCAAAUUUCUUGUAGUGAGGUAAGAAUGUAGAAAUACUUUAAAGUAAAUGUGCUGUAUGCUAGAGAAUUAAACAGAUGUCACAAAAUGGCUGAAGUUGGAAGGCAUCUCUGGAAAGCAUCUAACCCAAGCCCCA